GCCUUCGUGGUGUAGUGUUCAGCACGCUUGACGCGUAACCGACAGGUCCGUGGUUCGAUUCCCUGCGAAGGCG
Stegodyphus mimosarum is the source of this 73-nucleotide non-coding RNA. The record is from Rfam. NCBI's taxonomy places the organism in Eukaryota, Metazoa, Arthropoda, Arachnida, Araneae, Eresidae.